This 1136-nucleotide ribosomal RNA is filed under the name Salmonella enterica subsp. enterica serovar Typhimurium. RNAcentral's name for it is "bacterial LSU rRNA". It matches the Rfam family "Bacterial large subunit ribosomal RNA", at positions 974 to 2011 of the family's 2925-position model. Lineage: Bacteria; Pseudomonadati; Pseudomonadota; Gammaproteobacteria; Enterobacterales; Enterobacteriaceae. The record is from RNAcentral.
AUCACGGGAGACACACGGCGGGUGCUAACGUCCGUCGUGAAGAGGGAAACAACCCAGACCGCCAGCUAAGGUCCCAAAGUCAUGGUUAAGUGGGAAACGAUGUGGGAAGGCCCAGACAGCCAGGAUGUUGGCUUAGAAGCAGCCAUCAUUUAAAGAAAGCGUAAUAGCUCACUGGUCGAGUCGGCCUGCGCGGAAGAUGUAACGGGGCUAAACCAUGCACCGAAGCUGCGGCAGCGAACGUAUCACUUAAAGCGAUUCAGCGGGUUACGAUUGACGGAGCGAAGCGACGUCAAAGCGUAUACAAAGUCGAGUCGGUUUAAGGAUACGUUCGUUGGGUAGGGGAGCGUUCUGUAAGCCCGUGAAGGUGGCCUGUGAGGGUUGCUGGAGGUAUCAGAAGUGCGAAUGCUGACAUAAGUAACGAUAAAGCGGGUGAAAAGCCCGCUCGCCGGAAGACCAAGGGUUCCUGUCCAACGUUAAUCGGGGCAGGGUGAGUCGACCCCUAAGGCGAGGCCGAAAGGCGUAGUCGAUGGGAAACGGGUUAAUAUUCCCGUACUUGGUGUUACUGCGAAGGGGGGACGGAGAAGGCUAUGUUGGCCGGGCGACGGUUGUCCCGGUUUAAGCGUGUAGGUGUGUGUUCCAGGUAAAUCCGGUUCACUUUAACACUGAGGCGUGAUGACGAGGCACUACGGUGCUGAAGCAACAAAUGCCCUGCUUCCAGGAAAAGCCUCUAAGCAUCAGGUAACAUCAAAUCGUACCCCAAACCGACACAGGUGGUCAGGUAGAGAAUACCAAGGCGCUUGAGAGAACUCGGGUGAAGGAACUAGGCAAAAUGGUGCCGUAACUUCGGGAGAAGGCACGCUGACACGUAGGUGAAGUGAUUUACUCACGGAGCUGAAGUCAGUCGAAGAUACCAGCUGGCUGCAACUGUUUAUUAAAAACACAGCACUGUGCAAACACGAAAGUGGACGUAUACGGUGUGACGCCUGCCCGGUGCCGGAAGGUUAAUUGAUGGGGUCAGCGCAAGCGAAGCUCCUGAUCGAAGCCCCGGUAAACGGCGGCCGUAACUAUAACGGUCCUAAGGUAGCGAAAUUCCUUGUCGGGUAAGUUCCGACCUGCACGAAUGGCGUAAUGAUGGC